AAUCAACGCUGGCGGCGUGCCUCAGACAUGCAAGUCGAACGCGAAAGUCCCCUUCGGGGGACAAGUAGAGUGGCGCACGGGUGAGUAACACGUAGGUAAUCUACCUUCGGAUGGGGAAUAACAACCGGAAACGGUUGCUAAUACCGCAUAAUGCAGCGGCACCUAAUGGUGACAGUUGUUAAAGCGGGGGAUCGAAAGACCUCGCGUCUGAAGAGGAGCCUGCGGCGGAUUAGCAGUUGGUAAGGUAACGGCUUACCAAGGCGACGAUCCGUAGCCGGCCUGAGAGGGCGGUCGGCCACACUGACACUGACAUACGGGUCAGACUCCUACGGGAGGCAGCAGUCGGGAAUUUUGGGCAA
This 359-nucleotide ribosomal RNA is filed under the name uncultured bacterium. Its description in RNAcentral is "bacterial SSU rRNA". It matches the Rfam family "Bacterial small subunit ribosomal RNA", at positions 32 to 371 of the family's 1533-position model. The record is from RNAcentral.